GUCCACGCUGUAAACGGUGAGUGCUAGACGUCGCGGGUAUUGACCCCCGCGGUGUCGCAGCUAACGCGUUAAGCACUCCGCCUGGGGAGUACGGCCGCAAGGCUAAAACUCAAAGGAAUUGACGGGGGCCCGCACAAGCGGUGGAGCAUGUGGUUCAAUUCGAAGCAACGCGAAGAACCUUACCUGGGCUUGACAUGUUGAAGGAUCUCCUCGAAAGAGGAGAGUGCCCGCAAGGGAACUUCUUCACAGGUGCUGCAUGGCUGUCGU
RNAcentral lists this ribosomal RNA (267 nucleotides) under uncultured bacterium. RNAcentral describes it as "partial 16S ribosomal RNA". It matches the Rfam family "Bacterial small subunit ribosomal RNA", at positions 793 to 1055 of the family's 1533-position model. The record is from RNAcentral.